This 482-nucleotide ribosomal RNA is filed under the name uncultured bacterium. Its description in RNAcentral is "partial 16S ribosomal RNA". It matches the Rfam family "Bacterial small subunit ribosomal RNA", at positions 28 to 523 of the family's 1533-position model. The record is from RNAcentral.
AGUGAACGUUGGCGGCGUGGAUUAGGCAUGCAAGUCGAGCAAGAACCGUAGCAAUACGGGGACAGCGGCGAAAGGGACAGUAAUGUGUAGGUACCUACCUCCGGGUUCGGGAUAGCUGCGGGAAACUGCAGGUAAUACCGAAUAACGUCUCCGGACCAAAGGUGUGAUUCCACCUGGAGAGGGGCCUGCAUCCUAUUAGCUUGUUGGCGGGGUAACGGCCCACCAAGGCGACGAUGGGUAGCGGGUGUGAGAGCACGACCCGCGUCAUUGGGACUGAGACACUGCCCAGACACCUACGGGUGGCUGCAGUCGAGGAUCUUCGGCAAUGGGCGCAAGCCUGACCGAGCGACGCCGCGUGCGGGAUGAAGGCCUUCGGGUUGUAAACCGCUGUCGUAGAGGAGGAAAUGCAGGGGGGUUCUCCCCUCUGUUUGACCUAUUCUAGGAGGAAGUACGGGCUAAGUUCGUGCCAGCCGCCGCCGUAA